Molecule: ribosomal RNA, 301 nt
Filed under: uncultured bacterium
Lineage: Bacteria
Description: partial 16S ribosomal RNA
Rfam family: Bacterial small subunit ribosomal RNA
Source: RNAcentral
CAGUAGCCGCGGUAAUACGAAGGGUGCAAGCGUUAAUCGGAAUUACUGGGCGUAAAGCGUGCGUAGGCGGUGAGUUAAGUCUGCUGUGAAAUCCCCGGGCUCAACCUGGGAAUGGCAGUGGAUACUGGCUCGCUAGAGUGUGUCAGAGGAUGGUGGAAUUCCCGGUGUAGCAGUGAGAUGCGUAGAGAUCGGAAGGAACAUCUGUGGCGAAGGCGACUAUCUGGGCCAACACUGACACUGAGGCACGAAAGCGUGGGGAGCAAACAGGAUUAGAUACCCCUGUAGUCCCUGUCUCUUAUAC